This 401-nucleotide ribosomal RNA is filed under the name uncultured bacterium. RNAcentral's name for it is "bacterial SSU rRNA". It matches the Rfam family "Bacterial small subunit ribosomal RNA", at positions 28 to 430 of the family's 1533-position model. The record is from RNAcentral.
GACGAACGCUGGCGGCGUGCUUAACACAUGCAAGUCGAGCGGUAAGGCCCUUUCGGGGUACGACGAGCGGCGAACGGGUGAGUAACACGUGGGUGACCUGCCCUCCAGCUCUGGGAGUAAGCCUGGGAAACCGGGUACUAAUACCGGAUAUGACUCCAUGACGCAUGUUGUGGGGUGGAAAGCCUUGUGCGGCUGAGGAUGGGCCCGCGGCCUAUCAGCUUGUUGGUGGGGUGAUGGCCUACCAAGGCGACGACGGGUAGCCGGCCUGAGAGGGCGACCGGCCACACUGGGACUGAGACACGGCCCAGACUCCUACGGGAGGCAGCAGUGGGGAAUCUUGCGCAAUGGGCGAAAGCCUGACGCAGCGACGCCGCGUGAGGGAUGACGGCCUCGGUGUAACU